CUUCUUGCACGGUGGCAGUAUCCUAGCCAAUGAGGUUUAUCCAAGGUGCGAUUCUUGCUAACUGAAAACUUUUCCCAAUACCCCGCCAUGACGACUUGAAAUAUUGUCAGCGUUGGCAAUUUUUGACAGUCUCUACGGAGG
Molecule: small nuclear RNA, 141 nt
Filed under: Microcebus murinus (gray mouse lemur)
Lineage: Eukaryota; Metazoa; Chordata; Mammalia; Primates; Cheirogaleidae
Description: U4 spliceosomal RNA (ENSMICG00000043928.1)
Rfam family: U4 spliceosomal RNA
About the family: U4 small nuclear RNA (U4 snRNA) is a component of the major U2-dependent spliceosome. The structure of U4 snRNA from yeast and human has been reported. U4 snRNA presents a k-turn RNA motif in the 5p-SL related to recognition of Snu13 protein.
Source: Rfam by way of RNAcentral